RNAcentral lists this unclassified non-coding RNA (2589 nucleotides) under Hermetia illucens (black soldier fly). RNAcentral's name for it is "rNA-binding protein 39, transcript variant X4". The record is from RNAcentral. Lineage: Eukaryota; Metazoa; Arthropoda; Insecta; Diptera; Stratiomyidae.
AUUUUACUCAGGAGAGAUUAAAUGUAAUGGCGUUAAGUGGACGUGUUUUCCGUCGCGAGGUUGAUAACUAGUUUCCGUGCAGUCGAGUGCAGUUGUGUCGAAAUUCGAGAAACGUGUCGCGAACGCACAAAACUCUGCUCCAAGUAGUGCUCUAAAACGUUUCUAUAGCCACAUUGGCAAAAAAUUGGAAAAUCUGACAAUUGGAGGUUUUCAAUUCAGAGAGGCGAGUUCAGAAGCGAGCAGCUCGGGCAAUCAUGGCGGAAGAAGAUUGGGACGACGUAGAGGCCAUGUUGGAGGCGCCGUACAGAAAAGACACUGAUGGCGAUAAAUCAUCCCCAGGACAACAUAAUCACGAGUCGAGAUCUAAGGAGAAUGGGCGAAAGCAAUAUUCAAGAAGUCGAUCGAAAGAGCGAUCCGCAUCCAGAGAUCGUGGGAAGGAAAAUGAUUAUUAUCGCAACGAUCGUGCAAAAGCACAUGGACCAUCUAGGGAUCGUGAUCGUGAACGAGUCGAGCGCGAACAAGGACGAUAUCGCGAAAAAGAUCCUCGAAAAUCGAGAGAUGGUGACCGUGGUGAUCGCGCUGAUCGUGGCGAGCGUGAACAUGAUCGGGAGCGUGAGCGAGAUCGCGAACGUGAUCGACGUCGAAGCAAGUCGCGUGAUCGAAGACGUAGUCGGUCGCGAGACAAACGACGCAGUCGGUCACGAGACAAGCGUCGCAGUCGUUCACGAGACAGACGUAGAAGUCCGCCGCGUGACAGGAGGCGCAGCCGAUCGAAGGAGCGUCGAGAGAGGUCGGUAGAACGGAAACGAGAGAAGGUUCGCGAGCCUAAACGCAGCCGAUCUAGAGAUAGAAGACGUCGCAGCCCUUCGCCGCGCCCAUUCAGACGGGGCCGAACACCACCAAAUGGUUUGGGAGAUCGAUCUCCACCAGAAGACUUAAGCCCGGAGGAGCGUGACGCUCGAACGGUAUUCUGUAUGCAGCUUUCACAAAGGAUACGGGCUAGAGAUCUUGAAGAGUUCUUCUCUAGUGUGGGCAAGGUGCGGGAUGUUAGGCUCAUCACUUGUAACAAGACAAAACGAUUCAAGGGAAUCGCAUAUAUUGAAUUCAAAGACCCCGAAUCGGUAGCAUUAGCUUUAGGACUGUCCGGUCAAAGACUUCUGGGAAUUCCAAUUUCAGUCCAGCAUACACAGGCAGAGAAAAAUCGAAUGGCCAAUAGCGUCCCCACAUUCACACCAAAAAAUCACACUGGCCCUAUGCGUUUGUACGUUGGCUCAUUGCAUUUUAAUAUUACUGAAGAUAUGCUACGUGGAAUAUUUGAGCCUUUCGGAAAGAUAGACAACAUCCAGUUGAUUAUGGACCAGGAAACAGGACGAUCGAAAGGCUAUGGGUUUAUAACGUACCACAAUGCAGAUGAUGCGAAAAAAGCGCUUGAACAGCUCAAUGGCUUCGAACUCGCUGGCCGUCCAAUGAAAGUAGGCAACGUGACGGAGCGGCUUGAUAUGAAUACGACGUCGUUGGAUACAGACGAAAUGGAUCGUAGUGGAAUUGAUCUAGGAGCGACGGGACGACUGCAGUUGAUGUUUAAACUUGCUGAAGGUGCUGGGUUGGCUGUGCCGCAAGCAGCGGCCAAUGCUCUCCUCGCAACUGCACCUCAACCUGCUCCAGUUCAACAACCACAGCCAGCUCCAACUAUUGCCACACAAUGUUUCAUGCUCUCAAAUAUGUUCGACCCUGCAACCGAGUCCAAUCCCAACUGGGACACUGAAAUCGAAGAUGAUGUGAUUGAUGAAUGUAAAAAGCACGGGGGCAUUCUCCACGUGUAUGUAGACAAAGAAUCACAAGGAAAUGUGUAUGUGAAAUGUCCUAGUAUUGCGACGGCCGUUCUGGCAGUGAAUGCUCUGCAUGGACGAUGGUUCGCUGGUCGAGUCAUCACAGCUGCUUAUGUUCCGUUGGUCAAUUAUCAUACACUGUUCCCCGAUGCAGCGACAGCUACCAGUUUGUUAAAUACAACGAGGAAAUAGUUAUAUUCUGGGAAGUAGAGGUGGAGGGGAAUCGUCGAUUUCGCGGUGACUUCAUUUCAUCUUUUUUUAAAAAACUGUGGUUCUAAAUUGUGCAUCACGCGAGGACUAAAAUAAUGAAUACACAUAUGAUGUAUAACUCACACACGGACUGAUUACUCUCACUGCGUUCUCAAGCACUGGAAGAUUCCUAUAAAAUUUUAAGGCUGUCGUGAAUCAUAGUUCAUCAAUAGUUGUCGUUCAAUACAUGUUUUAGGGGAAACGCAGAUAAAUCCAUGGAAAAACAAUAGAGCAUUCGCGCCAUCGAAGCAAUUCAGUUCAGUGAGUGUAACUUAUGAAGGAACUCUUUGAGUUUAGCCCCAACAUUUAUGUAAACAUUCAAACAGAAUUAAUAUAUAUACAUACAUAUAUUGUAGAAUGGAUAUAGCCGUUUUUUAAAAAUUAAUCUAAUUAGACUUAAGCUAUUGUGUAUAACUUUUUUCACAUCAUUUCUUUCAGUUUAUACGGAAUUGUUAGUUUACAAAAUCUAUUCAUUUUUCGUCUAACAAAAAAUUGAGUUUUUAAAAUCGGG